AUUGAACGCUAGCGGGAUGCUUUACACAUGCAAGUCGAACGGCAGCACGAAAAGAGCUUGCUCUUUUUGGUGGCGAGUGGCGAACGGGUGAGUAAUGUAUCGGAACGUACCCAGUAGCGGGGGAUAACUACGCGAAAGCGUGGCUAAUACCGCAUACGCCCUACGGGGGAAAGGGGGGGAGCGCAAGAGCUCUCACUAUUGGAGCGGCCGAUAUCGGAUUAGCUAGUUGGGGGGGUAAAGGCACAGCAAGGCAACGAUCCGUAGCUGAUUUGAGAGGACGACCAGCCACACUGGGACUGAGACACGGCCCAGACUCCUACGGGAGGCAGCAGUGGGGAAUUUUCGACAAUGGGGGAAACCCUGAUCCAGCCAUCCCGCGUGUGCGAUGAAGGCCUUCGGGUUGUAAAGCACUUUUGGCAGGGAAGAAACGGCGCUGACUAAUACUUGGCGAAACUGACGGUACCUGCAGAAUAAGCACCGGCUAACUACGUG
Molecule: ribosomal RNA, 492 nt
Filed under: uncultured bacterium
Lineage: Bacteria
Description: partial 16S ribosomal RNA
Rfam family: Bacterial small subunit ribosomal RNA
Source: RNAcentral